GCGUCAUUAGCUCAGUUGGUAGAGCACCUGACUCUUAAUCAGGGUGUCCGGGGUUCAAGCCCCCGAUGUCGCACCA
This 76-nucleotide transfer RNA is filed under the name Clostridium sp. CF011. RNAcentral describes it as "tRNA-Lys". It matches the Rfam family "tRNA". From Rfam's summary of the family: Transfer RNA (tRNA) molecules are approximately 80 nucleotides in length. Their secondary structure includes four short double-helical elements and three loops (D, anti-codon, and T loops). Further hydrogen bonds mediate the characteristic L-shaped molecular structure. tRNAs have two regions of fundamental functional importance: the anti-codon, which is responsible for specific mRNA codon recognition, and the 3' end, to which the tRNAs corresponding amino acid is attached (by aminoacyl-tRNA synthetases). tRNAs cope with the degeneracy of the genetic code in two manners: having more than one tRNA (with a specific anti-codon) for a particular amino acid; and 'wobble' base-pairing, i.e. permitting non-standard base-pairing at the 3rd anti-codon position. RNAcentral also lists the same sequence under 9 other names. The record is from RNAcentral. Lineage: Bacteria; Bacillati; Bacillota; Clostridia; Eubacteriales; Clostridiaceae.